Molecule: long non-coding RNA, 279 nt
Organism: Lynx canadensis (Canada lynx)
Lineage: Eukaryota; Metazoa; Chordata; Mammalia; Carnivora; Felidae
Exons: 3
Source: RefSeq, a predicted model, not a curated record
GAAGUAUUUCCCAGGCGCAGACAACGCGGCUUGUUUCUACUGGACGCCGGUUCACACAACUGCAAGAGCCGGGGAAACGACCCUCAGGAGCAACUAGAGCCAGUGACGGCGGGAGAAACGGAGACUUAGAAGACGGGAGACAGGAGAGAAACCCUGAGUGGAAUGAGACUGACAUCCGGAACCCUUGGGAACCGUCAGCCCACUUCGAGUGGUGACCAGUGUUAGCAUUGCUGCAGCCUCCACCCUGAGCACCCAGGAACAGAGAGAGCAUGAGCGGGA